Molecule: unclassified non-coding RNA, 301 nt
Filed under: Hevea brasiliensis (rubber tree)
Lineage: Eukaryota; Viridiplantae; Streptophyta; Magnoliopsida; Malpighiales; Euphorbiaceae
Source: RNAcentral
AUGUGUGACUUCAAUUGGUAUGAGGCCAAUUGAAGAUGAAAGUAGACAUAUAAUAUCAUAAUUUUCAUAUAGAAACCCUGCCCAGAAAAUGACUUUAAGUUAGUAAACAAUUAGGUCAAACACGAAAUUAGCACACUGCCACUAUGUAGAAAUAACUAAAUAAACAGUGUUUGUUCAUUUAGCCAUAACAUAGUGUAAAAAGGUCCAAAUGAUCUAAAUUUUAUACCGAGAGAAAGCUGAGACGUAGCACUAUAACUUUUAUGAAAAACACAAACCCAAAUUCUGACUAUAACCCAUCUGA